AGAGUUUGAUCCUGGCUCAGGAUGAACGCUAGCGACAGGCUUAACACAUGCAAGUCGAGGGGCAGCGGGGGAUGCGUUCGCGCAUUCUGCCGGCGACCGGCGCACGGGUGAGUAACACGUAUGCAACCUGCCCCGCCCAGGGGGAUAAUCGGCGGAAACGCCGUCUAAUACCGCGUAUAUCGGUACCGGGCAUCCGGGAUUGAAGAAAGGGCCUUAGGGUCCGGGACGGGAUGGGCAUGCGGCGCAUUAGGAAGUUGGCGGUGUAACGGACCACCAAUCCGUCGAUGCGUAGGGGUUCUGAGAGGAAGGCCCCCCACACUGGUACUGAGACACGGACCAGACUCCUACGGGAGGCAGCAGUGAGGAAUAUUGGUCAAUGGGCGGGAGCCUGAACCAGCCAAGUCGCGUGAGGGAAGAAGGUACUGAGUAUUGUAAACCUCUUUUGCCAGGGGACAAAGGCGGCCACGGGUGGCCGUAAGAGGGUACCUGGAGAAAAAGCAUCGGCUAACUCCGUGCCAGCAGCCGCGGUAAUACGGAGGAUGCGAGCGUUAUCCGGAUUUAUUGGGUUUAAAGGGUGCGCAGGCGGCGUGUCAAGUCAGCGGUAAAAUGUCGGGGCUCAACCCCGGCCGGCCGUUGAAACUGGCGUGCUCGAGUUGGAGAGAAGUAUGCGGAAUUCGUGGUGUAGCGGUGAAAUGCAUAGAUAUCACGAAGAACCCCGAUUGCGAAGGCAGCAUACCGGCUCCACACUGACGCUGAGGCACGAAAGCGUGGGUAUCGAACAGGAUUAGAUACCCUGGUAGUCCACGCAGUAAACGAUGAA
RNAcentral lists this ribosomal RNA (820 nucleotides) under uncultured bacterium. RNAcentral describes it as "bacterial SSU rRNA". It matches the Rfam family "Bacterial small subunit ribosomal RNA", at positions 8 to 813 of the family's 1533-position model. The record is from RNAcentral.